Molecule: long non-coding RNA, 1312 nt
Filed under: Lepidothrix coronata (blue-crowned manakin)
Lineage: Eukaryota; Metazoa; Chordata; Aves; Passeriformes; Pipridae
Description: lncRNA (ENSLCOG00000015305.1)
Source: RNAcentral
AGAAGUAGAGAAAGGAGGUUUCUGCUGUGCCUGAUGACAAUAUUUGUUUUUUCCACACAAAAAAUAUUCUGGCUCCACGUUGGAGCACUAGUUGUGAUGAAUCCUAGUCUUGGUCGGAUUCUAAGGAAGGGCCAGAACGUUCGUUGAGGAAUAAAGAGUCACACCACUCCAGAAAAUGUGUUCCAGCCCUCGUUUAUUACUCACAGAGCAGCAGGUCUUUAAUAUUUUAGAGAAGAAUGCUAGGGGUGCCAAGAUGGCUUUUCUUUGUCUCAUGAAAUUCCACUUAGCUCAGGGUAACCUGAUAGCUAAAGACAAAUCAAGUCACUAUCAAGGCUGAUAAAAUUAAAUACAACACGUGGGAAUUUCAUUCCUCCAGGCAAUCCUUGAAGUGAAAUUUUAUACUGCUGGAGUGUAUCCUUCAGAAUCAAUUGUUUCAAUGAGAAUCUAUCUUGUAAUCAGCAACAGCCUUGAGAUCAAAACUACUGGAAAGUCAUUUUGAACUUCUGUGUCACAAAGAUUUCAACUGAUUGAACUGUGUACACUUGUAAAAUUGCACUUGCUGAGGAAUUUGCAGCUGUAAUCAUGUGUUGAUACUCUAAGGGUGCAGAAAAGCAGCAAACUGUUGGAUUCUCCAUUGCAGACCAGUGGCUUUUCAUCUUGAUGAAGUCAACCUCCAAGUUGUAUUGGAUCCUUCCCUCUAAAAUGAUCCCUGGUCCACUUUCAGAUUGCUGGUGGUACUGCACAUUGCUUUAAUUAAAUUUCUGUUGCAGAAAUGGUCCUCUGGCAUGGCGCAGUUUUAGACAUUUUUAUUUGUGUUCAAAUCUUGCAGCUCUGAAAGAUACAUAUUUCAAUAUCUUGAAGUUGCUUUUGUUAUAGGAAUGGAAUUAUAUAUCCAUUGUUAAUAAUUAUUGUUGACAAGUAAUAGUUAUCUGAAUACACCAGUCAUAUUAGAUUGUAUAGUCAGGCUGACAUGUUUGCCUAAGGCUAAUCAGCCACUGCAACUUAACAGUUAAAAAAGUAGUGGUCAAAACUCAAUUACCACCUCCAUUAUAAAGCAUUUUAUACCUCUAAGAUAUAGAUUUCCAUUUAGUUUGAAGGAGAUGGGUGUUCCCAAUGUGUACUUUACUUUCCUAACCUUUAAUUGAUUUAAGUUCAUGGUAACCAGUCGAUGACGGUAUUUCAUCUUUUUUUUCUCAGGGUAGGCAGGGAUGUAAAUGAGUUUUGCAAUUAUGAAAUUGGAUGGUAAUCACUCAGAAUUUUUGUCUUUUUAUUAAAAAAUAAAAUCUCUUGCUUGAACCUAAGUACUGAUGGA